GGAUAGGUGGCCGAGUGGUUGAAGGCGUCAGUCUUGAAAACUGAAGACACAUUUUGUUGUUCGGGGGUUCGAAUCCUCCUCUGUCCG
This 87-nucleotide transfer RNA is filed under the name Scherffelia dubia. RNAcentral describes it as "tRNA-Ser". It matches the Rfam family "tRNA". From Rfam's summary of the family: Transfer RNA (tRNA) molecules are approximately 80 nucleotides in length. The record is from RNAcentral. Lineage: Eukaryota; Viridiplantae; Chlorophyta; Chlorodendrophyceae; Chlorodendrales; Chlorodendraceae.